AACGAACGCUGGCGGCAGGCCUAACACAUGCAAGACGAGCGAGGACUUCGGUCCUAGCGGCGGACGGGUGAGUAACGCGUGGGAACGUGCCCUUUGCUUCGGAAUAGCCCUGGGAAACUGGGAGUAAUACCGGAUGAGCCCUUUGGGGGAAAGAUUUAUCGGCGAAGGAUCGGCCCGCGUUGGAUUAGGUAGUUGGUGGGGUAAUGGCCUACCAAGCCGACGAUCCAUAGCUGGUUUGAGAGGAUGAUCAGCCACACUGGGACUGAGACACGGCCCAGACUCCUACGGGAGGCAGCAGUGGGGAAUCUUAGACAAUGGGGGAAACCCUGAUCUAGCCAUGCCGCGUGAGCGAUGAAGGCCUUAGGGUUGUAAAGCUCUUUCAGCUGGGAAGAUAAUGACGGUACCAGCAGAAGAAGCCCCGGCUAACUCCGUG
Molecule: ribosomal RNA, 433 nt
Filed under: uncultured bacterium
Lineage: Bacteria
Description: partial 16S ribosomal RNA
Rfam family: Bacterial small subunit ribosomal RNA
Source: RNAcentral